Molecule: transfer RNA, 73 nt
Filed under: bacterium
Lineage: Bacteria
Description: tRNA-Asn
Rfam family: tRNA
About the family: Transfer RNA (tRNA) molecules are approximately 80 nucleotides in length. Their secondary structure includes four short double-helical elements and three loops (D, anti-codon, and T loops).
Source: RNAcentral
UCUUUGUUAGCUCAGUUGGUAGAGCAUUCGGCUGUUAACCGAAAGGCCCAUGGUUCGAACCCAUGACAAAGAG